This 439-nucleotide ribosomal RNA is filed under the name uncultured bacterium. RNAcentral's name for it is "partial 16S ribosomal RNA". It matches the Rfam family "Bacterial small subunit ribosomal RNA", at positions 338 to 795 of the family's 1533-position model. The record is from RNAcentral.
CCUACGGGAGGCAGCAGUGGGGAAUAUUGCACAAUGGGCGAAAGCCUGAUGCAGCAACGCCGCGUGAGCGAUGAAGGCCUUCGGGUCGUAAAGCUCUGUCCUCAAGGAAGAUAAUGACGGUACUUGAGGAGUAAGCCCCGGCUAACUACGUGCCAGCAGCCGCGGUAAUACGAAGGGGGCUAGCGUUAUCCGGAAUUACUGGGCGUAAAGGGUGCGUAGGGGGGUUCUUAAGUCAGAGGUGAAAGGCUAAGGCUUAACAGUAGUAAGCCUUUGAAACUGGGGAACUUGAGUGCAGGAGAGGAAGGUGGAAUUCCUAGUGUAGGGGUAAAAUGCGUAGAGAUUAGGAGGAACACCAGUUGCGAAGGCGACUCUCUGGAAUGUAACUGACACUGAGGCACGAAAGCGUGGGGAGCAAACAGGAUUAGAUACCCCAGUAGUC